RNAcentral lists this ribosomal RNA (253 nucleotides) under uncultured bacterium. Its description in RNAcentral is "partial 16S ribosomal RNA". It matches the Rfam family "Bacterial small subunit ribosomal RNA", at positions 524 to 776 of the family's 1533-position model. The record is from RNAcentral.
GACGUAGGGGGCGAGCGUUGUCCGGAUUUAUUGGGCGUAAAGAGCGUGUAGGCGGUUUGGUAGGUCCGCUGUGAAAACUCGAGGCUCAACCUCGAGACGCCGGUGGAAACCAUCAGACUAGAGUCCGGAAGAGGAGAGUGGAAUUCCUGGUGUAGCGGUGAAAUGCGCAGAUAUCAGGAAGAACACCCGUGGCUAAGGCGGCUCUCUAGUACGGUACUGACGCUGAGACGCGAAAGCGUGGGGAGCGAACAGG